UGGCCUCAAAUCGGGUGAGACUACCCGCUGAACUUAAUAUAUCAAUAAGCGGAGGAAAAGAAACUAACAAGAUUCCCCUAGUAACUGCGAGUGAAGCGGGAAAACUCAAAUUUAAAAUCUCAGCCACUCUUUGCCGUCCGAGUUGUCAAUUAGAGAAGCGUCUUCCGCGUCGGAGCCGUGCACAAGUCUCCUGGAAUGGAGCGUCAUAGAGGGUGAGAAUCC
RNAcentral lists this ribosomal RNA (222 nucleotides) under uncultured fungus. RNAcentral describes it as "partial 28S ribosomal RNA". It matches the Rfam family "Eukaryotic large subunit ribosomal RNA", at positions 1 to 221 of the family's 3401-position model. Lineage: Eukaryota; Fungi. The record is from RNAcentral.